AAAAAAUUAGUUUAACCAAAACAUUAGUAUGUCAAACUAAAAACAUCAAUCUUUUGAUAUUUUUUG
RNAcentral lists this transfer RNA (66 nucleotides) under Culex orbostiensis. RNAcentral's name for it is "tRNA-Asp". The record is from RNAcentral. Lineage: Eukaryota; Metazoa; Arthropoda; Insecta; Diptera; Culicidae.